AUGGCGUAAGCCUCUCGCUCCCCCCCCCCCAGCACGACAACAGCCACGGUGACAAAAUGGCAGCUCGGUGCCCGACAGGCGAGCCACCGGCGCAGAGCCGGGGACGGCCGCCCCUGCACCCCGAGAAUGCCAGGCACCCUGGGGCUGGGUCUCCCGCCGGCCUAGCAGUGCAAAUGACGAGGACAGGGGCCCGCAGGUCCGAGCCGGGCGAGAGCCCCCGGCCCGCCUCGCCCUCUCUAGAUCCAAUCCCCAGGCCCGCGCCGCCGAGCUUCUGCUGCGCCUGUGCGCGCCCGGGUCCCCUCCGCUGGGCACCCGGGUCCCCGCCGAGCCGGGUCCGCGGCCGCCGUGGGGGAGGGGCGGGCCGCCGGCGCCCCGGGAAACAUGGCUGCUCGUCCUAGUUCGGCGGCGUCGCGGCCACCAGUCCCCGAGAUGCGACUUGGGAGAGAGGUUGCAGAAGGAGGCAGCCCAUCUCCUCCCCUCGAUCAUCUUUUCCAUCCAGACGCGAGUCGUGGGAGCUGAGAGCUCGGACGAGGGUGAGAUCGCCGCGUUCCCUCCGACCCGAACGCGUGCGCCCCGCCGGCCCCCAGCUGGGUGCACACUCGCACGCACACCCUCGCACCCAUACCCGCACACGCGGGAGCACACGCACAGGUAGUCACACACCAAGGGCAGCGGCGGCGGUGGCCAGAACAUGCUCCGAUGGCAUUGCAACCCCCCCCCCAAUCCAACCUUGCAAUUCAUUUGCAGUCCGAUCCCAAGCCCUACACUACCCCGGACCCCCCUCCAUAAAAAAAAGUGCCUUCCCCCCAAACACACACGCACACAUAACACAAAGUAGGAGAAUGGACCGACAGAGAUAUUUUUGGCAAAUGCUCACAUCAGAGGGCGUCCUGUUCCGCAGCUCUAAAUGAAUCCGUUUGUCCAUAUCCAUCUCUCGCGCUCUCUCUCUGCAGAGGAUCCUGCGCCAGCGAAAUUCAAUCAAUAAACCCCGAACCCACGGCCGCGCGUUUUAGGACUUUGAAGGCUCAACCAGCUCCGCUCGGUUCUCGAGCCCCCAGCACCCGCGGCGCACACUAACCUGAUCGCCGUGAAGGCGGGACCUGCGGCUCCGGCGUGGAGCGGCGGCAGCACGAGCCAAUCGAGUGGCGAGGCUCCGGAUGCCAGCCAAUGGUGACGGCGGCGGCGGGGGGCAGGGUCCAAUGGGCGGCCUGCGCAGCGGGCCAGGGAGGCUCAGCCAUUUGGCUGUGGUGCCGGAGACGGACCCCUUUAGAUACCCGGGCGGCCGAGGAGGAGCGCGGCUGCAGCUUGGUGGCUGCGCGCGGGGGGCGGGAGGGAAGGCAGGGCAGGUGCGUGGACCUGAAGGUUCGUGACCGGGGGCGGGGCCGCAGGUGCGUGGACGCGGGAGGGGCGGGGUCCUCGCGGGGGCAUCCUCUAGGUGCUUGGCGGGCGGACGAGGCCUGGGGCGCGCGGGCGCCGGCCAGGCCCAGGGAGGGCGCGCAUUCUGGGAGCGCAGGAAGGACAGAUCACACCCUGGGCCGCCCACUCGGCGCAUCCCUUCGGACUGGGUCUGCUUCCAUGCCUGCAAUUAAAUAAGCAAGUCUAAGCGCAUGAUGUUCCCACCUUCCGAGGAGCGAGGGCGGGAUCGCGACCCAGAGGCUUGGCGUUCUGAUGUCCUGCCAGGGCAGCCUUAAAAGAAGCGAUUCCCCGAGAGCCACCGGAGACCUUGUGUAGGGCAAUAAUUGAAUGAAAAGGCCGUGGAUGCAGAACUGUAUAGAAUAUUAAAAAGUGCGGAAGGAAGGUGCUAGUAACUGCCGAUUCUCAGAGCCGAACAUAAUUUACGGGCUUUAUAGGUUUUGUUGAGAGUGAGCGUUGCACGUUUCAUUCUAAUCGCCCACCAAAGUCGUUUGGUUACAUCUGAGUUGCCAAGGAGUCGCUAACUGGAACACUUAUCGAGGUCUUUUGGUUGCUUUGGGUUUUGUUUUUUUGUUCGACCACGUUACGUUUUUAAGAGACCUUAAAAGCCCUGGUUCCCACUGGGUUACCAGCUUCCUAUGGGCAACCCUGGGACCUCAUGCACUGCAUGGAUAUCUGUGGCUGUGGACAAAUCACGGGGAUGACUGUCAACAGGGACACAUGUUUAACGUCAUCCACACAACUGUAUCAUAGUGUCUGUUUCUCUUCGUCUACACUCUUCCGCAAAUACCCCAAGGUAGUUUUAUCUUUGUGGAUACAUUGGAACUGAGCAUUUUAUUCAGUAAGUUCUUUUAGAUCAAAUAAUAAAUGAAUUUGAAAGCCGAUAAAUAUUUAUUCUAAGUAACUGGAAGUACGAAAUAAAAAUGUCAUCUGGAUGAAUAUGGCA
Non-coding RNA from Peromyscus maniculatus bairdii (prairie deer mouse), 2359 nucleotides. Lineage: Eukaryota; Metazoa; Chordata; Mammalia; Rodentia; Cricetidae. The record is from RefSeq and is a predicted model, not a curated record.